This 565-nucleotide ribosomal RNA is filed under the name uncultured archaeon. Its description in RNAcentral is "bacterial SSU rRNA". It matches the Rfam family "Archaeal small subunit ribosomal RNA", at positions 326 to 891 of the family's 1478-position model. The record is from RNAcentral.
CGGGGUGCAGCAGGCGCGAAAACUUUACAAUGCCGGCAACGGCGAUAAGGGAACCUCGAGUGCCAGGUUACAAAUCUGGCUGUCGUGAUGCCUAAAAAGCAUUGCAUAGCAAGGGCCGGGCAAGACCGGUGCCAGCCGCCGCGGUAACACCGGCGGCUCGAGUGGUAACCGUUAUUAUUGGGUCUAAAGGGUCUGUAGCCGGCCGGAUAAGUCUCUUGGGAAAUCUGGCAGCUUAACUGUCAGGCUUUCAGGAGAUACUGUCUGGCUCGAGGCCGGGAGAGGUGAGAGGUACUUCAGGGGUAGGGGUGAAAUCUUGUAAUCCUUGAAGGACCACCAGUGGCGAAGGCGUCUCACCAGAACGGACCUGACGGCAAGGGACGAAAGCUAGGGGCACGAACCGGAUUAGAUACCCGGGUAGUCCUAGCCGUAAACGAUACUCGCUAGGUGUCGGCCACGGUGCGACCGUGGUCGGUGCCGUAGGGAAGCCGUGAAGCGAGCCACCUGGGAAGUACGGCCGCAAGGCUGAAACUUAAAGGAAUUGGCGGGGGAGCACAAGGGCGAUUCG